RNAcentral lists this small nuclear RNA (163 nucleotides) under Dasypus novemcinctus (nine-banded armadillo). Its description in RNAcentral is "U1 spliceosomal RNA (ENSDNOG00000033446.1)". It matches the Rfam family "U1 spliceosomal RNA". Rfam says of the family: U1 is a small nuclear RNA (snRNA) component of the spliceosome (involved in pre-mRNA splicing). Its 5' end forms complementary base pairs with the 5' splice junction, thus defining the 5' donor site of an intron. Lineage: Eukaryota; Metazoa; Chordata; Mammalia; Cingulata; Dasypodidae. The record is from RNAcentral.
AUACUUACCUGGCAGGGGAAAUACCAUGAUCACGAUGUGAUUUUCCCAGGGCAAGGGUUACCCAUUGCAUUUCGGAUGUGCUGACCCCUGCAAUUUCUCCAACUGUGGGAAACUCAAAGGCAUAAUUUGCAGUAGUGGGGGACUGCAUUCCCACUCUCCCCAU